This 331-nucleotide ribosomal RNA is filed under the name uncultured Bacillota bacterium. RNAcentral's name for it is "bacterial SSU rRNA". It matches the Rfam family "Bacterial small subunit ribosomal RNA", at positions 28 to 351 of the family's 1533-position model. Lineage: Bacteria; Bacillati; Bacillota. The record is from RNAcentral.
GACGAACGCUGGCGGCGUGCCUAACACAUGCAAGUCGAGCGGAGAUACAAAGUAAUUUAUUAUGAUGUAUCUUAGCGGCGGACGGGUGAGUAACGCGUGGGCAACCUGCCUUACAGAGGGGGAUAACAGUGCGAAAGCACUGCUAAUACCGCAUGAAAUUGAGAUAUCGCAUGGUAUCACAAUCAAAGGAGAAAUCCGCUGUAAGAUGGGCCCGCGUCUGAUUAGCUAGUUGGUGAGGUAAAGCUCACCAAGGCGACGAUCAGUAGCCGAUCUGAGAGGAUGAACGGCCACACUGGAACUGAGACACGGUCCAGACUCCUACGGGAGGCUG